CUGCCCCCUUUGCCCCCUCCUCGGCCGCUGACGUGUGGGGAUGGGGGGCAAAGGGAGCAGCUGUGCUGGCGAUUUAAAAGGGCCCGGGGCUCCAGACACUGCUACCGCAGCAGCAGCAUCCAGUGCCCCGGGCCCUUUAAAUCGUCACGG
This is a small nucleolar RNA of Caretta caretta (loggerhead turtle), 150 nucleotides long. The record is from RefSeq and is a predicted model, not a curated record. Lineage: Eukaryota; Metazoa; Chordata; Testudines; Cheloniidae.